This 425-nucleotide ribosomal RNA is filed under the name uncultured bacterium. RNAcentral describes it as "partial 16S ribosomal RNA". It matches the Rfam family "Bacterial small subunit ribosomal RNA", at positions 354 to 796 of the family's 1533-position model. The record is from RNAcentral.
GUGGGGAAUAUUGCACAAUGGGGGAAACCCUGAUGCAGCGACGCCGCGUGAGUGAAGAAGUAUUUCGGUAUGUAAAGCUCUAUCAGCAGGGAAGAAAUUGACGGUACCUGACUAAGAAGCCCCGGCUAACUACGUGCCAGCAGCCGCGGUAAUACGUAGGGGGCAAGCGUUAUCCGGAUUUACUGGGUGUAAAGGGAGCGUAGACGGCAUGGCAAGUCAGAUGUGAAAACCCGGGGCUUAACCCCGGGAUUGCAUUUGAAACUGUCAGGCUGGAGUGCGGGAGAGGUAAGUGGAAUUCCUAGUGUAGCGGUGAAAUGCGUAGAUAUUAGGAGGAACACCAGUGGCGAAGGCGGCUUACUGGACCAUAACUGACGUUGAGGCUCGAAAGCGUGGGGAGCAAACAGGAUUAGAUACCCGAGUAGUCC